RNAcentral lists this long non-coding RNA (1285 nucleotides) under Marmota monax (woodchuck). Lineage: Eukaryota; Metazoa; Chordata; Mammalia; Rodentia; Sciuridae. The record is from RNAcentral.
UGUGCAUAUAAAUCAUCUAGGGAAUCUUAUUAAAAUGGAAGCCUGAGUCAUAAAGUCUGGGGUAGGCUCUGAGAUUUUGCUUUUGUAAUCAGCUCCCAGGUGAUACUCAUUCUGCUGGAUUAUGGGCUAGGUUUAUGUAGAAAGACUAAAGCAGUGGCUCAAAACCCUUGCUAAUGAGAGAGACCUGAAGAAAGAGGAGAGGAGUGAAAGAGAGUAAUAUCCCAAAACAGAUAAAUCAGAAUCUUUGUGCAUGGAGCCUAAGCAUCAAUAUAGCUCCCUGGUGAUUUGGAUGGGUAGUCAAGGUAGAGAAUCCUGUUCUCAAAGUUGGGAUUCUACUGAAAAUCUGUCCUCUAAAUAAAUGGAAUAUUGCAGUUUUUCGUAUUUGAUUGAGUUGGUUUGACUAUCGUCUCCAAAAUUGAGAUGUCACUAAUGUAGUACCAAGGGUGGGGAUUUUAAAAGGUGAUUGGGCUUCACUCAUGUCGGGCUUGCUUUCCCUUCUGCUAUGUGAGAACACAGGAAAAGGGCACAACAUUCCUUCCCUCUCAAGAAUGCAGCAACCUGGUGCCAUCUUGGAAGCGAGAAUCCUCACCAGACAAAUGAAUCUGCUGGCUCCUUGAUCUUGGACUUACUAGUCUCUAGGACUUUUUGUUUUGGCUUUUUGUAAGUUACUAAGGCUCAGGUUUUUUGUUAUAGCAGCACAGACAGACUGAGAUAGCUUUGUUGGUUUCCAAAUGUGCCUUGACUAGAGAGAUAUGGAAGGCAACACUGCCUCCUGCUGGUAAUAGAUGGACCAGUCGAAAGGACAUUGAGGAUUUAAGUGGAACCCUGCUAUUACUGGCUCACUGCACUGACCCCCACACUUUUCCAGAUUACUCUUUCCUCAUUUAUAGAGUGGUGUGGGUAAAGUAAAAAUUUCCCUCUAUCUGCUAACAUAUUUGAGGAUAUCAUCUGGAAAGCUUUAAAAGAUAAGAUUGAAAUUAUUUGAGAUUUGCUUUGAAAUAACUGGGUGGUGGGCUCAAGAUGUAGCUCAGUGGUAGAAUGCUUGUCUAGCAUGCUCAAGGCUGUGUGUUUGAUUCCCAGUACUGGAAAAACAAUGUUUGUACUUAACUAGGUAGGAUUAUUUUGAGGUGAGGACUUUGAUCUAUGUUGUCCAAUCUAUAGCCACUAAUGAUUUGUAGCUAUUUAAAUUAAAUAGUUUCAAUGGGAAAAAAUUAAUGUCUCUCGUGACAUCAGCCACAUUUCAAGUGCUCAGUGGUCACAUGUGGCUAGCUGCACGGAUACUGCU